CCCUUAGAUGUUCUGGGCCGCACGCGCGCUACACUGAUGCAUUCAACGAGUUUCUUCCUGGUCCGAUAGGAAUGGGUAACCUUUUGAAAGUGCAUCGUGAUAGGGAUAGACUAUUGCAAUUAUUGGUCUUCAACGAGGAAUUCCUAGUAGACGUAGUUCAUCAGACUGCAUCGAUUACGUCCCUGCCCUUUGUACACACCGCCCGUCGCUCCUACCGAUUGAAUGCUCAGGUGAGCCAUUCGGACUUUCAUCAUGCUGGUUUCCAGUUUUGAUGAAGGAAAGUCUUGCGAACCUUAUCAUUUAGAGGAAGGAGAAGUCGUAACA
RNAcentral lists this ribosomal RNA (324 nucleotides) under uncultured eukaryote. Its description in RNAcentral is "partial 18S ribosomal RNA". It matches the Rfam family "Eukaryotic small subunit ribosomal RNA", at positions 1470 to 1796 of the family's 1831-position model. The record is from RNAcentral.